RNAcentral lists this unclassified non-coding RNA (162 nucleotides) under soil metagenome. RNAcentral's name for it is "partial internal transcribed spacer 1". The record is from RNAcentral.
CAGAGUUGCAAGACUCCCUAAACCAUUGUGAACCUACCUUCUACCGUUGCUUCGGCGGGCGGGCCCAGCGCCCCCCCGGCCCCCCCGCGGGCGCCCGCCGGAGGAUACCCAAACUCUUUGACAUUAGUGGCCUCUCUGAGUAUUCUUUACUGAAAUAAGUCA